UGGUACAGGAGCCUAGGGACAA
Molecule: unclassified non-coding RNA, 22 nt
Filed under: Mus musculus (house mouse)
Lineage: Eukaryota; Metazoa; Chordata; Mammalia; Rodentia; Muridae
Description: oocyte_clustered_small_RNA3098
Source: RNAcentral